RNAcentral lists this long non-coding RNA (436 nucleotides) under Heterocephalus glaber (naked mole-rat). RNAcentral describes it as "lncRNA (ENSHGLG00100039178.1)". Lineage: Eukaryota; Metazoa; Chordata; Mammalia; Rodentia; Bathyergidae. The record is from RNAcentral.
CUUCGCUCAGGCUCCUGCUGCCUGUCCAGAGCUCCAGACUCCCAGUGGACAGCAGGCUGCCCUCUGGCUUGUUGGUUCUGCACACCUCCUCCCAGGAUGCAGCAACAAGGCACCAUCACAGAAGCAGAAAGCAGCCCUUACCAGACACACAACCAGCCAGAGCCUUCAUUUUGAACUCCCCCACCUCCAGUACAGCGAUAAAUAAAUUUCUAUUGUUUAUAAAUUACCCAGUCUGCGAUAUUCUGGUAUAGCAACACAAAUGGCCUAAGAAAUAAGGUUAGCCUUUGAUUGGUGUCUGGGUACCUGGAUUUGGGGAGGAUUUCCACACUUUCUUGAUAAGUUACUUACAAUGCCUAAGCUAUUUGUACAAUGUGGUUGAUGCUGAAUACCAGUUGUCCUUUGGGGAGUCUAGAAUUUUAGAAUGAGCUUAACAGAG